RNAcentral lists this ribosomal RNA (494 nucleotides) under uncultured bacterium. RNAcentral's name for it is "partial 16S ribosomal RNA". It matches the Rfam family "Bacterial small subunit ribosomal RNA", at positions 28 to 507 of the family's 1533-position model. The record is from RNAcentral.
GACGAACGCUGGCGGCGUGCUUAACACAUGCAAGUCGAACGGAAAGGCCUGCUUUCCCUUGUGGAUUGCGGGUACUCGAGUGGCGAACGGGUGAGUAACACGUGAGUGAUCUGCCCCCAACUUGGGUAUAAGCCUGGGAAACUGGGUCUAAUUCCCGAUAGGACUGCAGGGUGGUGCCUGUGGUGGAAAACGAUUUUCUAGUGGUUGGGGAUGAGCUCGCGGCCUAUCAGCUUGUUGGUGGGGUAAUGGCCUACCAAGGCGGCGACGGGUGGCCGGCCUGGGAGGGUGGACGGCCACAUUGGGACUGGGACACGGCCCAGACUCCUACGGGAGGCAGCAGUGGGGAAUAUUGCACAAUGGGCGGAAGCCUGAUGCAGCGACGCCGCGUGGGGGAUGACGGCCUUCGGGUUGUAAACUCCUUUCGACCGCGAGGAAGCCACCUGGUUGGAAGGGUGGUGACGGUAGUGGUAGAAGAAGCACCGGCUAACUACGUG